AUACGUAGGGGGCGAGCGUUGUCCGGAAUGAUUGGGCGUAAAGGGCGCGUAGGCGGCCUGUUAAGUCUGGAGUGAAAGUCCUGUUUUCAAGAUGGGAAUUGCUUUGGAUACUGAUGGGCUUGAGUGCAGGAGAGGUUAUCGGAAUUCCCGGUGUAGCGGUGAAAUGCGUAGAGAUCGGGAGGAACACCAGUGGCGAAGGCGGGUAACUGGACUGCAACUGACGCUGAGGCGCGAAAGUGUGGGGAGCAAACAGGAUUAGAUACCCUGGUAGUCCACACUGUAACCGAUGAAUGCUAGGUGUAAGAGGUAUCGACCCCUUUUGUGCCGGAGUUAACACAAUAAGCAUUCCGCCUGGGGAGUACGGCCGCAAGGUUGAAACUCAAAGGAAUUGACGGGG
RNAcentral lists this ribosomal RNA (397 nucleotides) under uncultured bacterium. RNAcentral describes it as "partial 16S ribosomal RNA". It matches the Rfam family "Bacterial small subunit ribosomal RNA", at positions 523 to 918 of the family's 1533-position model. The record is from RNAcentral.